RNAcentral lists this ribosomal RNA (442 nucleotides) under uncultured bacterium. RNAcentral describes it as "partial 16S ribosomal RNA". It matches the Rfam family "Bacterial small subunit ribosomal RNA", at positions 338 to 795 of the family's 1533-position model. The record is from RNAcentral.
CCUACGGGUGGCAGCAGUGGGGGAUAUUGCACAAUGGGGUAAACCCUGAUGCAGCGACGCCGCGUGGGCGAAGAAGUAUUUAUGGAUUUAAAGCCCUAUCAGCAGGGAAGAAGAAAUGACGGUACCUGAGUAAGAAGCACCGGCUAAAUACGUGCCAGCAGCCGCGGUAAUACGUAGGGUGCAAGCGUUAUCCGGAUUUACUGGGUGUAAAGGGAGCGCAGGCGGCACGGCAAGCCAGAUGUGAAAGCCUGCGGCCCAACCGCGGGACUGCAUUGGGAACUACCAGGCUGGAGUGCCGGAGAGGUAGGCGGAAUUCCUAGUGUAGCGGUGAAAUGCGUAGAUAUUAGGAGGAACACCAGUGGCGAAGGCAGCCUACUAAACGGUGACUGACACUGAGGCUCGAAAGCGUGGGGAGCAAACAGGAUUAGAUACCCCUGUAGUC